Molecule: long non-coding RNA, 472 nt
Organism: Eurytemora carolleeae
Lineage: Eukaryota; Metazoa; Arthropoda; Copepoda; Calanoida; Temoridae
Exons: 3
Source: RefSeq, a predicted model, not a curated record
UAAAAAAUUCUAAAACUAAACCCUCAGAACGCAUACAAAUUGUAAAUCCUGAUGUAGAUCCAAUCAGUUUUUAUGUCCUAAAACCUAAAAUCCACAAAUAAAACAGAUAAAAAUUUUAUUCAAUUCUAAAAUCUAUUUCUUACACUUGUACAGAAAAUAAUGUAGACUAUUCUUUACUGUAAACUGUACAGUUCACAUUGUAUACACUGCACAGGGCUGACUGUACAGUUCACAUUGUACACUGCACAGGGCUGACUGUACAUAAAUAGGAAUGUAGAAUCCAGAUCUUGGCCCGGACGGCACGGAAAUAUUUCCAUCGGAAAAAUUCCGAUGUCCAUGCCUGGAAGAGUUAAGGGAUUCCAACCCGUGAUUCUUGGUUCAAUUCCAUUCAUUUCUAAAUCAAAGGAAAGUAAAAAUAGAAUUCAGAAACCUGAACUUUUCUUGACUCCACUUCAUCCUUUCUUCGCAGGUU